UAAGUUGCAAGAAAUAGCUUCCCGUUCCGAUUGCUCCUUCUCCACCAUUGUUACCACCUCCAAUGCUAACCUCUCCUGCCACUGUCUUCCCCCUGCCUUCUGUUUCUCUGGCCACUCCCUCCAUCCUUUACCAAUCCCGCCACCUUCCGCCCAUCACUUUGCCCAUCGCAAGACCUACUCCGUCCAAUUUUUGUCACUCCGUCUCUACACUUGUCUCUGCCACUCCUCCAUUACUGCUGUCAUCACCAUUAUUCCUCUCAGCCUGACAUUCUGGGCUCUCUCCUUCAGCUCUUCUGCUUUCCCCAAAUUUCAGACACAUUUAGGGCUUAUGAAAGGUGCAGUGUCUUGUUCUUUAAAGGAUGUGAGAUUAUUGUAUACUUGUUGUAGCAAAUUAGUGACCCAGUCAAAUUUCUUGGAAGGCGCUGGAUAUUAGAUGAGAAUGAUAUUAAGAAGCAAGAGGCAGGUGCUUCCUUUCUUGUGAAAAUGGGAAAAGGAAGGUUGCUGGUGCAUUUGCUGACUAUAUUUGUGUAAGAACUUUCCAAGGCAAUUGUGGACUAUAUUUUUUGACGUCACCAUCGAAUUUUUGAUGUUCAUGAAGGCUGCGUAGGUCUGCAAGGAGGAGGAAAGUGGUGGUGCCUUGGUGUUUCAAUGUUGAAGCUGAUGGCUUGGUUCCUUUGUUUUGUGUUUUUGAAAUCCACAAUUGGUUGAAUUCUUGUCUUACCUUUGAAGCUAGAAAGGACUAUUACAAUUCAAAAGAGCUACCUUUCUCUUUGGCUUGUUUUAGGCUUUUAGCGAGAAUACAUUUUUCUAUUUCUUUUAGCGAGAAUACAUUUAUUAAACUUUUAGUGAGAA
Coffea arabica (coffee) is the source of this 852-nucleotide non-coding RNA. Lineage: Eukaryota; Viridiplantae; Streptophyta; Magnoliopsida; Gentianales; Rubiaceae. The record is from RefSeq and is a predicted model, not a curated record.